RNAcentral lists this ribosomal RNA (508 nucleotides) under uncultured bacterium. RNAcentral's name for it is "bacterial SSU rRNA". It matches the Rfam family "Bacterial small subunit ribosomal RNA", at positions 36 to 524 of the family's 1533-position model. The record is from RNAcentral.
ACCUAGCGGCGUGCCUAAUCAUGCAAGUCGAGCGAACGGACGAGAAGCUUGCUUCUCUGAUGUUAGCGGCGGACGGGUGAGUAACACGUGGAUAACCUACCUAUAAGACUGGGAUAACUUCGGGAAACCGGAGCUAAUACCGGAUAAUAUUUUAGAACCGCAUGGUUCAAAAGUGAAAGACGGUCUUGCUGUCACUUAUAGAUGGAUCCGCGCUGCAUUAGCUAGUUGGUAAGGUAACGGCUUACCAAGGCAACGAUGCAUAGCCGACCUGAGAGGGUGAUCGGCCACACUGGAACUGAGACACGGUCCAGACUCCUACGGGAGGCAGCAGUAGGGAAUCUUCCGCAAUGGGCGAAAGCCUGACGGAGCAACGCCGCGUGAGUGAUGAAGGUCUUCGGAUCGUAAAACUCUGUUAUUAGGGAAGAACAUAUGUGUAAGUAACUGUGCACAUCUUGACGGUACCUAAUCAGAAAGCCACGGCCAACUACGUGCCAGCAGCCGCGGUAAU